Molecule: ribosomal RNA, 321 nt
Filed under: Triticum aestivum (bread wheat)
Lineage: Eukaryota; Viridiplantae; Streptophyta; Magnoliopsida; Poales; Poaceae
Description: partial small subunit ribosomal RNA
Source: RNAcentral
AUGCUAACAGGAAAGCGCCCAACUGAUGAGAUGUUUAAAGAUGGCCUGAGCCUUUACAAAUUUGUUGAAAAAUCAUUUCCUCAAAAGAUUGAGGAGAUUCUAGACCCUAGAGUAGUUCCAGGUUAUAGAGAUGAAGGUGAAGAUGCAGGCGGUGAUUUAGACCGGGAAACUCAUCCAAUGGCUGCAAUGAACUGCAUCAUAAAGCUCAUUGAGCUUGGGUUGUUGUGCUCUGCGGAGACACCUAAAGAUCGGCCAACUAUGCAGGAAAUACACAACGAAGUUGUCGCAAUCAAAGAAUCAUUUUCAGCAUUGCAGGGCUGA